RNAcentral lists this ribosomal RNA (671 nucleotides) under uncultured archaeon. RNAcentral describes it as "bacterial SSU rRNA". It matches the Rfam family "Archaeal small subunit ribosomal RNA", at positions 1 to 671 of the family's 1478-position model. The record is from RNAcentral.
UUCGCCCUUUUCGGUUGAUCCUGCCGGACCUGACUGCUAUCGGAUUGAUACUAAGCCAUGCGAGUCAUUGUAGCAAUACAAGGCAGACGGCUCAGUAACGCGUAGUCAACCUACCUUAUGGACGGGGAUAACCUCGGGAAACUGAGAAUAAUACCCGAUAGAACAUUAUGCCUGGAAUGGUUUAUGUUUCAAAUAAUUUAUUGCCGUAAGAUGGGACUGCGGCCUAUCAGUUUGUUGGUGAGGUAAUGGCCCACCAAGACUAUUACAGGUACGGGCUCUGAGAGGAGUAGCCCGGAGAUGGGUACUGAGACACGGACCCAGGCCCUAUGGGGCGCAGCAGGCGAGAAAACUUUGCAAUGUGCGAAAGCACGACAAGGUUAAUCCGAGUGGUUUCUGCUGAAGGAACCUUUUGUCAGUCAUAGAACCACUGACGAAUAAGGGGUGGGCAAGUUCUGGUGUCAGCCGCCGCGGUAAAACCAGCACCUCAAGUGGUCAGGAUGAUUAUUGGGCCUAAAGCAUCCGUAGCCUGCUUUGUUAGUUUUCGGUUAAAUCCAUAUGCUCAACGUAUGGGCUGCCGGGAAUACUGCAAAGCUAGGGAGUGGGAGAGGUAGACGGUACUCGGUAGGAAGGGGUAAAAUCCUUUGAUCUAUUGAUGACCACCUGUGGCGAAG